GCCGGCGUAGCACAGUGGUAGUGCAGCUGAUUUGUAAUCAGAAGGUCGGGAGUUCAAAUCUCUCCGCCGGCA
This 72-nucleotide transfer RNA is filed under the name Acetobacter estunensis. It matches the Rfam family "tRNA". Rfam says of the family: Transfer RNA (tRNA) molecules are approximately 80 nucleotides in length. Their secondary structure includes four short double-helical elements and three loops (D, anti-codon, and T loops). The record is from Rfam by way of RNAcentral. RNAcentral also lists the same sequence under 1 other name. Lineage: Bacteria; Pseudomonadati; Pseudomonadota; Alphaproteobacteria; Acetobacterales; Acetobacteraceae.